UCUGCUUCUUCCACCGUUUGAUGUCGAUCAGUGCAGAACACCUGCAGCCUGGCGCCCUGCUUCCUUCUUUCAGGAAACAUCCCCUCUAAGGCGCCCCUCCUGCCCUCUUCCUUUGGCGACUGGUUAUUGAGAAAGAAGAAAACAAAAGGAGAUCUGAAGCUCAGAGAGGUUGUAAGUGGCUUGCUCAAAUGUGCAUGAUGGGCUGGGUUGUGGCCGUGCAGGAGUUGGAGACCGUGCGUGUCCCAUGACAUGUCCCAGGUGAGGGAAGUACGCCAGGACGUGAGAGGAGGAAGACGUCCAUCUCUGCUGCUGGGGGCUGCCUUCAAAGUCGUGCUGGGACCUGCUCUCUGCCAGUAAGGACACCGCCGCAUAAGAUGCUCAAUGUCACUUCGUUGGAGCAGAAGAUGGUGUGAGUCAACUCUGAAAGACGUCCCUUGAGGGGCACCCCUCCAGUUUGAGCCCCAUAGCAGACGCCACACUGAGUUCACUGGAUCGCCCUGAGAAGCUCGUGGGACUUACGCUGUGACUGUGACCAUGUAUCUCUGUGCCAGUGAUGUUCAGAGCAGCUAGGAAGGAAAUUCAGACUAGAACGAACUGUCAUGAGAGAGAUAUAAAGUCGAUGUGUGAAAGAACAUGUUUAUCAGUACUUGCUCUAAUUGAAGCAGGUAUUAUUUCCUAUUUUUUUAGUCCUAUAUUCUUCUAAAAUAUAACGUGAUUUUCACACUUUUAUCUCACUUCAAAUUAUUCAGAUCUGUUUUAGAACAUAGCCCUAUAUUUUAUAUAGGCAAAAAUCUGAAAUUAUCCCCUUUUCUUGAGCAGGGAGGUCAUAUUCUUCCUAAAUACUGCCUAAAAUGUUGUCGCAUUGCUUUCUCCCCACUUCAAUGUGUCCUGACUUAUGCUUUACCUGUAGAUAUAGGCCUUGUCCAUUAUCGACUCCAGAUGGUGAUUAAAUUCAAAAAAUGAGGUGUACUGUGUAGAAAACAAGCAAAAGAAAUCCAAAAAUGUGUUAGUCUUAGAUACAUCUAUGUAAAUAAAAUAGAUUUUGUUACUGAAAAUUAUUCUAUUCAUAUGUCUGUAAAAAACAAAACCUAGGGCCCGUUUAUCGGUGUCUUCCUCUGGACAGUACAUUUUAGCACAAUGCCAGACUUCCAGAGCUUCCGCUGUGCUUUAUUUUUACCCUCCAGUUAAGUCUUGUUUGUAAUGCUUGUUGAAAAUCAAGCUUAAAAACAUUUCUGUCCUUUUUCUUUUUAAUGCAUGUAGUAGAACUCUGUUUUACUUACAAUAAUUGAAAUCACACUCUCCCCAAAACGUAAAGUAGGAAAAGUAUAAUCUAAUACACUGACGUCACAAGAGCUGUUAAAUCUUGUUGUUCAACACUAACAUUGUUUUUAAGCA
Long non-coding RNA from Equus quagga, 1395 nucleotides. RefSeq lists it as uncharacterized. Lineage: Eukaryota; Metazoa; Chordata; Mammalia; Perissodactyla; Equidae. The transcript is spliced from 5 exons. The record is from RefSeq and is a predicted model, not a curated record.